Acanthosepion pharaonis is the source of this 113-nucleotide non-coding RNA. The record is from the annotation of a GenBank genome assembly. NCBI's taxonomy places the organism in Eukaryota, Metazoa, Mollusca, Cephalopoda, Sepiida, Sepiidae.
UAUGGCCACAUCACAUUGAAACACCCGUUCCCAUAUGUUCAACAAAGUUGAGCAACACUGAGCCUGGUCAGUACAUAGAUGAGUGACCACUUGGGAAUACCAGAUGCUGUAAG